GACGAACGCUGGCGGCGUGCUUAACACAUGCAAGUCGAACGGAAAGGCCUCAGCUUGCUGGGGUACUCGAGUGGCGAACGGGUGAGUAACACGUGGGUGAUCUGCCUUGCACUUCGGGAUAAGCUUGGGAAACUGGGUCUAAUACCGGAUAGGACAGCUGUUUAGUGUCAGUUGUGGAAAGUUUUUUCGGUGCAAGAUGAGCUCGCGGCCUAUCAGCUUGUUGGUGGGGUAAUGGCCUACCAAGGCGUCGACGGGUAGCCGGCCUGAGAGGGUGGACGGCCACAUUGGGACUGAGAUACGGCCCAGACUCCUACGGGAGGCAGCAGUGGGGAAUAUUGCACAAUGGGCGGAAGCCUGAUGCAGCGACGCCGCGUGGGG
RNAcentral lists this ribosomal RNA (378 nucleotides) under Corynebacterium simulans. RNAcentral's name for it is "bacterial SSU rRNA". It matches the Rfam family "Bacterial small subunit ribosomal RNA", at positions 28 to 406 of the family's 1533-position model. Lineage: Bacteria; Bacillati; Actinomycetota; Actinomycetes; Mycobacteriales; Corynebacteriaceae. The record is from RNAcentral.